CUACGGGGUGCUGCAGUGGGGAAUAUUUCACAAUGGAGGAAACUCUGAUGCAGCAACGCCGCGUGGAGGAUGACACUUUUCGGAGCGUAAACUCCUUUUAUAUAGGAAGAAGAUGACGGUACUAUAUGAAUAAGCGCCGGCUAACUCCGUGCCAGCAGCCGCGGUAAUACGGAGGGCGCAAGCGUUACUCGGAAUCACUGGGCGUAAAGAGCGUGUAGGCGGAUUAAAAAGUCAGAAGUGAAAUCCUAUAGCUUAACUAUAGAACUGCUUCUGAAACUCUUAAUCUAGAAUAUGGGAGAGGUAGAUGGAAUUUCUGGUGUAGGGGUAAAAUCCGUAGAGAUCAGAAGGAAUACCGAUUGCGAAGGCGAUCUACUAGAUCAUUAUUGACGCUGAGACGCGAAAGCGUGGGGAGCAAACAGGAUUAGAUACCCUUGUAGUC
RNAcentral lists this ribosomal RNA (439 nucleotides) under uncultured bacterium. RNAcentral describes it as "partial 16S ribosomal RNA". It matches the Rfam family "Bacterial small subunit ribosomal RNA", at positions 339 to 795 of the family's 1533-position model. The record is from RNAcentral.